This 470-nucleotide long non-coding RNA is filed under the name Volvox carteri. Its description in RNAcentral is "long non-coding RNA (VCAR_LNC003174)". Lineage: Eukaryota; Viridiplantae; Chlorophyta; Chlorophyceae; Chlamydomonadales; Volvocaceae. The record is from RNAcentral.
GGCAAGCGACGCAAGGCAGAGACGUGGAGCGCGUACUUCGAGCGCCUCCGCAUAGCGCGCGACAUAUCCUGGUUUAGAGAGAAGGGGCUGAAGAUGUCGACCGUUAAUAUCGUCGCGCGCUCAACUGCGCCGUUGGAUGAGCUUAUAAAGGCGCAGGGGGACGUUCAGGAGUGAGUUGCGACGCUUAAUCGGUCUCACCUUCGGGUUGCAAUAUCUGAGCCUGCGAAGGGUUUAAGUUAGUAAGUUAGGGUGUAUUUCCAGUGCGGAUUAACGUCGCGGAUUAACCCUCUGUCCUCCAUCGAUACUUGCUCAAACGGCUGGCAGACUUACCUCGCCUUUCCAACCUUUGGUUCCCUUUUGGAACGAAGCUAUGUGGUAAGCUCGUACCAAGGACUUCCGUGCCCUAAUCCCUGGCCUUGAUACGCACUGGAAAUACACCCUUAGUAAGGGAUUUAACUUGUAUACCGCUG